This 262-nucleotide ribosomal RNA is filed under the name uncultured bacterium. RNAcentral describes it as "partial 16S ribosomal RNA". It matches the Rfam family "Bacterial small subunit ribosomal RNA", at positions 1227 to 1500 of the family's 1533-position model. The record is from RNAcentral.
ACAAUGGCCGGUACAAAGAGAAGCGAGGCUGUGAAGCGGAGCAAAUCUCAAAAACCGGUCCCAGUUCGGAUUGUAGGCUGCAACUCGCCUACAUGAAGUCGGAGUUGCUAGUAAUCGCGGAUCAGAAUGCUGCGGUGAAUGCGUUCCCGGGUCUUGUACACACCGCCCGUCACACCAUGGAAGUUGGGGGUGCCCAAAGUCGGUUAGAAAUAAACUGCCUAAGGCAAAACCAAUGACUGGGGUGAAGUCGUAACAAGGUAAC